ACGUGAUAUACACCGUGGUGGAAUUUUUGAUUAUUUAAAUUACCAUUUUUGGAUUGGAUAAAUUGAUCAUUAGGUUGGAGAUAGUUGAGUAUGUUAAAUUUCAAAGCAUUAGGUUUCUAAACUACUUUAGAAUAUCUUGAUACUAUUGUUAAAUUGAAUGGAGAAAUUGAUUUUAGAAAACUUAUAUGAGUUUAAGAUAGAAGAGGCA
This 208-nucleotide long non-coding RNA is filed under the name Elaeis guineensis (African oil palm). RNAcentral describes it as "long non-coding RNA (EGUI_LNC035647)". Lineage: Eukaryota; Viridiplantae; Streptophyta; Magnoliopsida; Arecales; Arecaceae. The record is from RNAcentral.